AGGUAAUGCUUGGGAAUCUAGCUUAUGGAGGGGGAUAACUACGGGAAACUGUAGCUAAUACCGCGUAGAAUCGAGAGAUGAAAGUGUGGGACCUUCGGGCCACAUGCCAUAGGAUGAGCCCAAGUGGGAUUAGGUAGUUGGUGAGGUAAAGGCUCACCAAGCCGACGAUCUCUAGCUGGUCUGAGAGGAUGACCAGCCACACUGGGACUGAGACACGGCCCAG
RNAcentral lists this ribosomal RNA (223 nucleotides) under uncultured bacterium. RNAcentral's name for it is "partial 16S ribosomal RNA". It matches the Rfam family "Bacterial small subunit ribosomal RNA", at positions 108 to 334 of the family's 1533-position model. The record is from RNAcentral.